CUCUAGCCUGUUUUUAGAUUUAAAACACUGCAAUUGGAUCUCUCGUUUCCUGUGUGCAUUCAUUACAGAGGAAAACUCUGAAGUUGUUUCAGCUGGACACUUUCAAGAUGAUGGUUGAUACAAAAUGCAGAAGACAUCAAAAUCAGGGGAGAAGGAUGGAGGAUGCAGUGACGUGGGACUCGUAGGCAGCCACCCCUCCUCUACACAGCAGAGCAGGAUGGCCG
Molecule: long non-coding RNA, 224 nt
Organism: Carassius auratus (goldfish)
Lineage: Eukaryota; Metazoa; Chordata; Actinopteri; Cypriniformes; Cyprinidae
Exons: 3
Source: RefSeq, a predicted model, not a curated record